RNAcentral lists this transfer RNA (75 nucleotides) under Candidatus Woesebacteria bacterium RIFCSPHIGHO2_01_FULL_38_10. RNAcentral describes it as "tRNA-Asn". It matches the Rfam family "tRNA". Rfam says of the family: Transfer RNA (tRNA) molecules are approximately 80 nucleotides in length. Their secondary structure includes four short double-helical elements and three loops (D, anti-codon, and T loops). RNAcentral also lists the same sequence under 1 other name. The record is from RNAcentral. Lineage: Bacteria; Candidatus Woeseibacteriota.
UCCGGUGUAACUCAGUGGUAGAGUGCUCGCCUGUUAAGCGAAGAGUCGUAGGUUCGAAUCCUAUCACCGGAGCCA